Molecule: long non-coding RNA, 3398 nt
Filed under: Sus scrofa (pig)
Lineage: Eukaryota; Metazoa; Chordata; Mammalia; Artiodactyla; Suidae
Description: lncRNA (ENSSSCG00035071295.1)
Source: RNAcentral
CCGCCCCUCGACUCGGGAGACUGUAAAAGUUUGUCUCAGCUCCAGCAUCCCGAGCCUCAACACGCCCUCAGGUAAAGCCCCUCCAGCUCGAAUAAUGAAGAGACAGUCAAUGCAAUCUGCAAGCGGCGGCCCAUUGUACGCAGCUGAUGGAAAGAAGGCAACCGGGGCCGGCGAGGGCUCCUUGCCCUCUCUCCUCUCCUCAAAUAAACGCGCUCAUGUCUCCUGAUCAGUUAAAAGGUGAAAUGAACACGAUUAAAAGACAAAAAGAGAGACAGAGAUAGAGAGAUAGAGAGAGAGAGGGAGAGAAGAAAAGAAGGAAGAAAAAGAACAAGCUUUCUACAUAUAAAUUCUAAAUUUUAUUCCUCAUGUAGUACAAAGGCAGGCAGUCGAGGGCAGAGAAAGCAGGCAGGGAGAGGGAGACAGGGAGAAGCAAAGAGAACGUGGAGAGAUACGGAGCGAGUGGAAGAGGAAGGAGGAAGGAGAGCAAGCUCCAGGGAACUGGAGGCGCCCUGGACGCCCAGCCCUCCGGCCCAGCCGCCCUCGGACUCUGGACCGCGAGUCGUGGGCACCAGAAGCGAGACUCGGCCAAGUCCUGCCCUACCAGAGAGACCACAGAACAGAAAUAACCCUGUUUUAUCAAGCCCAUCUGGAGAGAUGAACAUGCCUGCAAUCGUUGGGAGAAAGGGAUUGAGAAACGGAAAUUUCACCACCCUCCAGCCAAACUUUCGAGGACUGAUUGCAGAGGAACUGGUGCUCCAGAUGUUGCACUAGAGGCGCUGCAAGUGUGAGCAGAUGGCAGUAGACCUACCUCACAAGUGGGAGCAGAUAUUCUCAAUGUUUCUAUUGAAAUAUCUUUAUUUCCAUUUGCAAGAGGAGCUCUGGAGCCUCAUUCUUGUGGUAGCUACCAAGUUCUGAUAUAAGCUGUUUUCAUCAGGGAACUUUGGCAAGAGAAUGGCUGGAUCAGCAAGUCCAUCUCCAUCAUGGAACAACAACUUGAAGCUCAUCUCUGUUGAUGGUGAGUCAAUGUCAUCUUCAGACAGGAACAAUCAUGCUAGUGUUAUUUUAUGUUUUCAGUGUUAUUAAACAACAGUUUGGUUUAAAUUUUGUUUUAUGAGACAUUAUUAGGAUUUUGAGCCAUAAUAUUUCAUUACUUGAGUCUAAAGGAUUGCAUAAAAAUCAACCUAAUAGUAAAAAGGAAAGGGAAUAAUAAUUUAGUGUUUAUGAAUAUACCUAAAAGUAGUUUGAUUAGCUUUUGUCAUCUCUGUUCUUAUUUUUAUAUAGCACAUGCUGGCUAACUUAUUCAUGACUUUUGUUUAAAUAAAUAUUGGCCAGCACAGAAUCACACAUACAUGAUUAUUUUAAAAUGUAUUACUGAUUUCAGGAAAUUUCAGGAUAACUGUAGUGUAAUUGUGAUGAUUCCCUUCCAUUUUCAAAUACAUAGAUUAUUUGGUCUUUCAUCUGGUAGCCAUUGUUAAUGCUUACUGCUGCUUGUUAUCCCAGAGAUACAGUGGAUGACAACAUAUAUACAUAUAUACAUUUAAUAUUAUUACAAGAGUUAUUAAUAUUAAUAUUAAGAUUGAACUCUUCCUCCCUAUGCUCUGUAAGUAAUUAAGUAUAACUUGAUGCAUUCUUCAAAAUCUCUUUACUCAAAAACAUUAUUUUUAGAUGAUUUGUCUCAUUAAUAUUAUUAUUUUCACAUUAAGCCUACAUCAAAUAUUUUUAGUUGGACUAGACUUUGGAAAUUUCUUCAGUAUUGUAAUGCAAGUCAAACAGAAUUAUUUAGUGUAUAAACUUGAGUAUCAGGAGUUCCCGUUGUGGCACAGUGGAAACAAAUCCGACUAGGAACCUUGAGGUUGCGGGUUCAAUCCCUGGUCUCGCUCAGUGGGUUAAGGAUCUGGUGUUGCCGUCAGCUGUGGUGUAGGUUGCAGACGCAGCUUGGAUCCUGCGUUACUGUGGCUUGGGUAUAGGCUGGCAGUUGUAGCUCCGAUUUGACCCCUAGCCUGGAAACCUUCAUAUGCCAUGGAUGCAGCCAUAAAAAGCCAAAAAAAAACCCCAACCCCCCCCCAAAACAAACAAACAAACAAAAACCCCCAUGAGUGUCAUAACUAGGAUAAUUUCUGUUCUAUCUAUUAUGAUAAGACACCAUUUCUUGAAUAAUUAAUAUUUGCUCAGCCCUAUGCUAAGUGCUUUCUAUAUCUUAUUGUAUCUUUACAACAUUAUUAUAGGGCAGAAAUAAUUAUCCCAGGUUUAUAGAUAAGGAAACUAAGACUCAAAGAGUUCAGUAAUUUAUAUAAGUUCAGUAAUUUGGAAUCCAACCUUGGACUACCUGACCUCAGACCUUCUGGGCAAAGCUCCAGUUUAUAAAUGUGGUGUUAAGCUGCAUGAAGCUUUUAUAUAUGUAACUUAAGACUGGGCUGCUUUACUUUUGAAGCAUAGUCUGACUAGUUCACAGUGAUUUUAUACUACUGAUUGAGGUGUACCAUGAUGUGUCUGUGUAUAACAUUUACUUUUGUGAGUUUACGGGGACAUAACUUUUGACAGGCUGUCUACAUAUUAUAUGUACUUGAUGUUGUUUGUGUAUACAAAUGCAUCUAUGAAUUCUUCAAGUAGAAUCUUGAUGAUGCUUCCUUGGUAAACUUGGUGUAUCUUUAGUGUCUGCCCUACUCUUCAGGUAGUAGAAUUGCUGCUCAAUUUUGCUAGAGGCUGAGACCCUUGUUUUGGGAGAACAUUUACCCAUUAUUAUAAGACAGGUUGGCCAAAAUGGUGAUGUUAAUUUUUUGUCAGAUACAUAAUGAAAUAUGAAAUGUUAGUUUGACCAUUGUUGAACAAAGCCAAGUGUGUACAUUGUUUAGAUAUUAUGGAAACCUAUGGUCCUGUGAUUUUUCAAAGGUUUCUGUUGUUUAUAAGAUAUAUAUCGUGCUCUCUUUAGAGGACAUACAGGAUUUUUGUUAUUGGGCCAUUGCAUACUGCUUCAGGAAUAUCUCUGAUAGCCUUCUCCCUUACCACCCAACCUCAUAUAUACUCCACACAUGUUAACCUCAGUUAAACUGAAUAGUCACCCUACCAUGACUAGGGUGACUAGUUGGCAUUGUGAUCUUCCCUCCUUCCUCCAUGAUGAAUACCAAAUUUUCAUUUAAGAUUCAACUUUGUGGAGUUCCUAUUGGAGCUCAGUGGGUUAAGAACCUGACAUAGGUCCAUGAGGAUACGAGUUCAAUCCCUGCCCUCACUCAGUGGGUUAAGGAUCCAGCAUUGCUGCAAACUGUGGUGUAGGUCACAUAUAUGGCUUGUAUCCUGUAUUGCUGUGGCAUAGCCCUCAGCUGCAGCUCUGACUUGACCCCUAGCCUGGGAACUUCCAUGUGCCCCAGGUGAGGCAGUAAAAGAAAAAAAAAAAAAAAAAA